GUCGUAGACCACGACCUUGAUAGGCCGGAUGUGGAAGUGCGGUAACGCAUGGAGCUAACCGGUCCUAAUUGCUCUGUUCGCGCUUGAAU
RNAcentral lists this ribosomal RNA (89 nucleotides) under Sphingobium indicum. Its description in RNAcentral is "partial 23S ribosomal RNA". It matches the Rfam family "Bacterial large subunit ribosomal RNA", at positions 2837 to 2925 of the family's 2925-position model. Lineage: Bacteria; Pseudomonadati; Pseudomonadota; Alphaproteobacteria; Sphingomonadales; Sphingobiaceae. The record is from RNAcentral.